Molecule: long non-coding RNA, 1396 nt
Organism: Oryzias melastigma (Indian medaka)
Lineage: Eukaryota; Metazoa; Chordata; Actinopteri; Beloniformes; Adrianichthyidae
Exons: 2
Source: RefSeq, a predicted model, not a curated record
CCCCCUCCUGCGGGGAAAGUCAUCGUUAGCUCGGCUUGAAAUGACCCGCACGGCGCCGCGCGGCGCGACCCGCCUUCCACCUGACAACAGGAGCGCGUGAGCGGCGAGGAAGCGCGAGCGGCCGCUGUCAGCUUUUCCGCCAACACGGACUCCUGGACGGACAGAAAACUGUCGGUUUAGGGGGAAAAACGCCAAAGCGGCUUACGGUUUUCCGGUGAGCGUCCCGGUGCCGAGCAGAGUCCCGGUGCUGAGCGCGCGCGGGCAGGCUGGGGCUCCGGUUCGCCUCUCGGAGGACAGAAUGCUGCCGUGAACGGGAGAAAUCAACGUUAACAAUCAGGAGCUGCAGGGAGGAGGACGGACGCUGAAGAACAAACAGAUCUGGAAGGAGAGGAGCUGCAGGACAGUUGAUGGAAACAAACGUGUCAGGAGCAGCAGAACACAAACGUUUCCACCUUUGACUCCACAGGAGCAUCUCUCUGAACCCAAACUCCCGAGCCUCAAAGCAGGAGAAAUGACCGUCCUCCUUCAGGAUCGGAUGGUUUCAAUCCACCACCAGACUUUAGUCUCAAGGCUUUGACAGUCCCACACCAUCACACUCCCACCACCAUGCCUUACUGAAGGCGUCAGUUUGAGUCCUGACGUGUGUUUCCAGAAAGUUCUUGUGUCUCAUCAGAACAUCAGUCCAGAAGUGAGAUGUUUUCCUGAACCGCUCCAUGGAUCCGUGUUUGUCCAGAAGUUUCUCUCGGUUGGAUCCGGACCUGAACCGAGUCCUGGAGGUGGUUCCAUCGUCUGCUUCUCUCUGCUGGAUGAGUCCUCCUCGUGUUCCUGGACUCUAAAGAGUCGUCCUUCGUGACUCCGCCUCCUUAAAGCCUUCCUGUCCAGCAGACAUGAGAGAUGUUCGUCUACAGCGUCCAGAACGGUUGUUUUAACUGUUGAGUUCUUGUUUUUAUACUUUUAUUUAUCUGUACGGUGAGGCGACAUUGAGUGUCAACAUAAUGUUAAUAACUAUUAUUAUAAUUUAAAGGACUGCUGAUGGAAUCUUUGAAAUUGUUUGGAGAUUUUCUUGAAGAUCCCAGAAGACAGACAUGAUGACGCUGUCGUGACAGUCAAGCAAAAACGUUCUUCUAAACAGAUUUAUGUCAAAGUUUAGAGUUCAUAAAGAGUAAGAUCACAGCUUUCAUCUUAAAAAUCCUUUAUUGCAUUAAAAACGUCUUACAGUAUAAAAGGAUACCAAACUGUAAUAAUCACAAAGCAGUGCUGAUUAAAGUUCCCUCUAAUCUGGUGGAACCGGAUCCCAUUAGAACAUGAAUCCAUCCACCCAGAAUGCAUCAGAGCCAUGAGGGCCGUAUGGAGAUGAAUUCAGGCCAAAAUUAUUUAAUAAACUAAAAAAAAAAAA